CUGCUGCCUCCCGUAGGAGUUUGGACCGUGUCUCAGUUCCAAUGUGGGGGACCUUCCUCUCAGAACCCCUACGCAUCGUCGCCUCGGUGGGCCGUUACCCCGCCGACUAGCUAAUGCGCCGCAUGCCCAUCCGCCACCGGGAUCGCUCCCUUUGACCCCCCAGGGAUGCCCCCUAAAGGGUGUCAUGGGGUAUUAGGCGGCAUUUCUACCGGUUAUCCCCCUGUGACGGCCAGGUUGCAUACGUGUUACUCACCCGUGCGCCGGUCGCCGGCUGUUGG
RNAcentral lists this ribosomal RNA (278 nucleotides) under uncultured bacterium. RNAcentral describes it as "partial 16S ribosomal RNA". The record is from RNAcentral.